RNAcentral lists this ribosomal RNA (497 nucleotides) under uncultured bacterium. RNAcentral's name for it is "partial 16S ribosomal RNA". It matches the Rfam family "Bacterial small subunit ribosomal RNA", at positions 28 to 507 of the family's 1533-position model. The record is from RNAcentral.
GAUGAACGCUGGCGGCGUGCCUAAUACAUGCAAGUCGAGCGAACGGACAAGAAGCUUGCUUCUCUGAUGUUAGCGGCGGACGGGUGAGUAACACGUGGAUAACCUACCUAUAAGACUGGGAUAACUUCGGGAAACCGGAGCUAAUACCGGAUAAUAUUUUGAACCGCAUGGUUCAAAAGUGAAAGACGGUCUUGCUGUCACUUAUAGAUGGAUCCGCGCUGCAUUAGCUAGUUGGUAAGGUAACGGCUUACCAAGGCAACGAUGCAUAGCCGACCUGAGAGGGUGAUCGGCCACACUGGAACUGAGACACGGUCCAGACUCCUACGGGAGGCAGCAGUAGGGAAUCUUCCGCAAUGGGCGAAGGCCUGACGGAGCAACGCCGCGUGAGUGAUGAAGGUCUUCGGAUCGUAAAACUCUGUUAUUAGGGAAGAACAUAUGUGUAAGUAACUGUGCACAUCUUGACGGUACCUAAUCAGAAAGCCACGGCUAACUACGUG